Molecule: non-coding RNA, 32723 nt
Organism: Xyrichtys novacula (pearly razorfish)
Lineage: Eukaryota; Metazoa; Chordata; Actinopteri; Labriformes; Labridae
Source: the annotation of a GenBank genome assembly
GUGCUGCGUCCGAAUUGCCCGCUCGGAUACUACAUGCUACUGCUACAUACUACUGCUAGAUCCUACUCCUACAGACUAAACACGUUGGCCCAAUUCGGACACACUAGACGAGCGGUGGGGAAAGACGACCCCCGCAGGCAGAGAGUAGGUACUGCGCCCGUUUUAGACUGAAUGGUAAUUGUGCAAGUGAUGGAUGCUGCUGUAUUAUAUUCCUGCACUGCUUUAGAAAUUCACAAAGUAGCUUUUCCAUUACUUUUAGCCUUCAUUCACCCAUGUGGUGAUCGUUAGUUCAAUGAGAUCUGCCUGAUUACUGCAGCUGUGCAGUUUAAUGAUGGAAUAAGUGAGCUUUACCUCCAUGAUGUCGCCACAUAUUUGCUCAUAAAAUGAUUACUUGGGCAAAUAUGACACCAUGACAUGACAAAGAGAUACAACUGCACAUUUUUUAGGACAGUGUGUGAAGUUACAUGAAACUUACAACUGUACUGCUGCGGUCCCGCCUGCUGCUGCUGCUCCGACAUGGUGCGCGCUGCUGUGGCCAGCCGGCGUUCGCGACACAUUUAAAUAGGCAGAGCAGCUGGUGGCGCUAGCAUCACAUGCGCUUCUACAACUUUUAAGAGGACGAAGAAGAAGCCCGCGGUGCAUUUUGGGUCAGUAGCAUGCCCGUAGGAUGCACCGCGACCAACCUACAAUGUGGGCGUGUCUAGUAUCCGAAGUAGUAUCUGAAGUAGCAUGCUACUCGCUCCGGUGGCCAAUUCGGACAUGCUAGAUACUACUUCGACUACUACUUGGCAAUUCGGACGCAGCUAAGGAUGUUAUGCAUCCCAACUUCUCUUCGCCCUGUUUAUCAAACCCCUGAGUCAGUGGAUUAGACAGAGUCCUAAUAUAAAACGAGUAUUAAUGACACCAGGGGAGUAAAAAAUAUCUCUUUUUGCAGAUGAUUUAUUGCUGAGUUUGACACAACUGACACAGACUCUCCCAAAGUUAAUAGAAAUGCUACGGGAGUAUGGCUCACUUUCGGGGUAUAAAAUUAAUGUAAAUAAAACUCAAGUCUUGCCUUUUAAUUACAACCCACCACCAGAGAUUAGAACUAUUUACAAAUGGAAUUGGGACACAGAAUUUAUAAAAUAUCCGGGAGUCAACCUGCCUCUUUCAGUGCCUCCCAGUUAAAAUACCACCAGAACAAUUUUUAGAAUGGGACAGAUUGAUAUCAAGGUACAUAUGGCAAGGGAAAAGAGCCCAAAUUAAAUAUAAAACAAUGCAAUUAAGAAAAGAAAAGGGGGCAGCCUCCCAUGCCUUCAGGAAUAUUACCAUUCAGCACAGUUUAGGCCAUUAAUCUGCCUAAGUCUUCCAGCAUUCACUUCAGGAUGGAUGGAUAUAGAAGGCACAGCAGUUAAGGGAGUACCAAUAUUAACUCUACUGGCUGACAGCAGGCUGCAGGACCAACUGGGGGUCUCUGAGGGUCCCAUGCCUGAUAUUCUUUUGAAAUCUUGGAAAGAGAUCAUUAAAAUUUGUAAGUUGGAAAACCCAUCUAAAAUUUUGAGGUGGUGUGCCUACGAUUCGGACUUUGCACCAAAUAAAAACAAUAACAGAUUCAAGAAAUGGAUUACUAAGGGCUUGACCACAAGGGGGCAUUUCAGACAUUUGAGACAUUGCAGAAUAAAUAUGGUUCGGAAAAAGAUGAGUUCCAUAGAUAUCUGCAGGUGAGAAGCUACUUUUGCCAAAAUUUUGGGGGGGGUCUUGGAUGGGGGUGGGUUGGGAUUUCUGCAUGAAUUUCUAUCACUACUUAGGUCCUAAAAAUAUAAUAAGAUAAUAUCUAAACUAUAUAAAGGUAUUCAACAAUUCAAGCAAGAGACCUCCGAUUACAUAAAGGUAAAAUGGGAAAGUGGAGAGUUGGGGAAAAAUAUGCAAGUUUCAGUGGAAUUCAACAGGGUCAAAUAUCUGGUGAGAGAGGUUUGCUGGAGGCUUUGCGGGACCAAAGGAAGCCAAUCAUUUUCAUAUUUUCUGGGACUGCCAGAUUAUUAAAAAAUACUGGGAAGACAUUUAUGAGCAUAUUAAGAAUUUGUUUUGUACAACCGUCGUAUUUAAUUUUGAAUCAAUGUACUUAUGUGAAAUACAAUUUGAGAGUUGGAAUUUUAAUGACAGGAAACUUCUGAGUAUUUUACUGGCAGCUAGUAAAAAAUCUAUCGCAAGAAAAUGGUUUAAGGCAGACCCACCAAACAUUGAGGACUGGAUGGAUGUUACACAUGAGAUUUAUAUUAUGGAAAAACUGUCAUUUUCCCUCAAAUUAGGAAGUGAAAAUUUUUAUCAGGUAUGGUCGGAAUAUGUGAAACCUAGAAGAUCAGAUUUUGUCUAAAUUUGGGAUGAACCCCCUUUUUUUUUCUUUCUUUUUUUUCUCUUUGAAAGCUAAAAUACCUUUAACAACUAAUGAUGUCAGUGUGUGCUCCCUGUUGGGUUCUGUUUUUGUUUUUGUGACGUGUUACAACGAUGACCAAUAUAGACAUGAAAAACUUGAGAGGCACCAUGGAUAAAGACACUGAGACUUUCUGCAGUUAAACAUCCAAGAGCAAAGUGGAAGGAAUCAUCAAAAUGUGAUAUGAAUACUUCUAAUAAAUCUUGCAAUGUUUUAACAGUCACAAGAGAUGUUUUGUGCACUGUGCAUUUAAGGAAUCUAAGUGCCUUUCAAAUAAAAAGUGAAUUUAAAAAAAAAACCUGGGCGUAAUUUUCGACUCUGAGCUCAGUUUUAUUCCAGAUAUCAAAAACAUAGCAAACUUAGGUUUUAACCACCUUAAAAAUAUAGUCAGAGUCUGCCCGUUUCUCUCCUAGGCCAGCACAGAGGUGGUGAUGCAUGAAUUUAUCUCCUUUCGUUUAGAUUAUUGUAAUGCCCUGCUCUCUGGCCUCCCCAAGAAGAACUUGCAUACAGUUCAGCUAUUACAAAAUUCAGCUAAGAGUGCUGACAAGGGCCAGAGGGCGAGAGCAUAUAACCCCAGUUUUAGCAUCGCUGCAUUGGCUCCCCGUCCGUUUCAGGAUUGAUUUUAAGGUUCUUUUAUUAGUUUUUAGAUGUAUUAAUGGUCUUGGCCCCUCUUAUUUAUCUGAUUUAUUCAUUAUUCUUUAUCUAUCUGAUCAUAUCAACCCUCGUGGACCCUCACCUUUUUACCAGGCUUUUCAAUGAUUGCCUUUUCAUAUUUCUCUCAUUGCAAAUGUUCAUUUUAAUUGAAGUUCUUGUUUCUUUUAUGUAACCUUAUUAAUUAUCUCUGUUCUUAGUCUUUUUUCUUAACUUCAUCCUUGGAGGAUUUUACUUCUUUUACCCCUUUUAUAUGAUAAAGAGCUCUUACUUAUUUGUUCAUUUAAUAUUAUUUUCUUGUUUUAGUUUAUCUUUCUUUUUACCAUUUCUCUCUUUCUUUCUUUCUUUCUUAUCCAGUGUUCCCCACAAGUAGCUCUUUCCUCACGCAAUGUCUUGGUGUCAGGCCAGUGCAACCUCAAGGAUGUUCUUGGUGGCUUUCCUCACCUGCAGUCCUCUAAUGUCAAGGAGUUUGAAUACUCGCUGUUAAGGACUGUUAGUAGGAUGAGGUAGAUGGCUGGAUCAGGAUAAAGGAUUUGACUAUCUACUGUGGGGCAUUGGUAAAGACAGGUAUGGUACAGGAACAGGCAGGUAUGCGUUUUACAACAUUCAUUCAAGGUCCUGAUAAGCAUAGAAUACAGGUAUGUAUGUAUGUAUGUAUGUAUGUAUGUAUGGUUGCUGACAACAGAAAGGGAAUAUCAGGAAUUUGUAAACUGAUUUAUAAUAACCAGUAUCUGAUACAUAACAUGUAUAAUGCACAUAAGCUGUGGCUCACAAACAUAAGCCAUGAUAAAAGAAAUUAAUUAUAAUUUAGGCCAAAUAACGUAAAUAUAUGCAAACUAUCCAUCAAAUGAAAAUGCAAUUAGACUUACAUUCCUUACAAACACAUACACGCUUCAUACUAUCAGGUGUGUCUACUAUCCAGUAGACAACAUGUGGGAUUAGGCCCCUCAUUAGCUGUCUUAACUAUGCCUGAGUAGAAAAAAGGAAACAUUUCUUAAAGGGACGGUAUCACAGGUAAAAUUCAAAUUCAACUUUAUUUGUAUUGCACUUUUCAGACAAAAAAAUAUAAUUCAAAGUGCCUCACAGAGGCUAAAAACAAUAAUUUAACAACAAUAAAAACUCGACCCUCACUCACCCACACAUACACACACACAAGCGCACACAGAGUGAGAAUUUAUGAUAUAUUGUUAAAGGGACAUGGCCUGAGGGUGCCAAGUAUCACCAUGAGAUGUAUUUGUUAAAUCUUUUCAGACAUUUAAAAAGUAAAAACAAGAGGCCUAUUUCAAGCAGCCAGUAGGAUGCUUUGAUCCCACACUAUUUUUGAGUCAAUUGAUCACAUGACCUGGAACUACUGAGUUAAAAUGCUAAUAUUUAAUAAUUUAAAAAUGCAGCAUGCAGGUAAUGCAAUCAAUUGACUCAAAAUCAGUGUGGGAUCAUAGUACUCUACUGGCUGCAUGUUUUUACAUUUCAAUUCUGUUCAUAUAUCUUCAUAAUUUUCUAUAUAUAAAUAUUAGCAUUUAAGCUCAACAUUAAGCUGGUUUAGCUGAUUUGGUUGAAUUAGUAGAUGAGGUGGGAAGAGUUUUUGAGUUUAGUUUGAAUGGGUUGCAAAUCAGUUUCAUUCUCUCUAACAUACAUUUUUAUCUUUUCUUCUUAUUAAAUGAAAAUCAUAUUUUGUAUCAGUGUAAUACAUUUGUUGUUUCCAAUGGCUAAUUAAGAGAAUGUGUUAUUUAAUCAUACAGACUUAAAAAUGUAAUGUCAAUAUCCAUGCCUUGUUGAUGUCCUAUGGACAAAUAAAGAAAAGGUUUCCGAAAACACUUGGAUUUGAUUUACUGUAUCCAAUAUGUAAAACAUGUCCUUUGCCAGUAACACAACCUGUUUCUUUCUGUCAUAUAUUGUGCCACAAGUUUUUGUCUUAUGCUAUAAGAUUGUCAACCUCUGUAGCACCAGCACUAUGGACAAAAAAGUUAACAUACAGUCCUGCUGUAUAGCUCAACUUGACGUGAUAUAUGGUCUGUGUAUACACCUUUUGUCAUACUACCAAGACCAAUCACCUCUGCCAAUUUACUUCUCAAUGGCUGGGGCAACCCUUUCUGUAUUUUAGCUUACAAAAUGGACUGUUCCAUUUGGUGCAAAUCUGGAUUUCCUGUAACAUUUCUCCAGAUCUGAUGAGCCCUUGAUGAAUAAGUCCUUGGAUUUUCCUGUAGCCUGAGUGGUUUAAUGAAAAUAUUAUCAAGAUGUACAUUUGUUGGAAAUGUAUUUCUAAAUGCUCUCCACAUCCUAGCUCUCAAUCAACCAAUCAAAUCAAAUUUUAUUUAUACAGCGCCAAUUCACAACAGUCGUCAUCUCAAGACGCUUUUCAAAGAACAAGAGCAGAGGUCCGUUUCACGUAGCAGGUUUAAUGGAAACUCCGAGUUUGUUAACCCUGAAAUCAGGGAAACUCUGAGUUUUCCGUUUCACAAAGGAGGGUUAGUUAAACCAGGGAGAGAGGGGUAACUCUAACCUGUUUCACAAAGAGAGGUAACUCAACCUCGCGGUCAGUUACCACAGUAACAGACUCCGUGAACCUAACCUGCUCGGGAGCAGGUUUAACUCAGUAAACCCAGAGUUUCAGGUGAGACAUCGGCAUUUUCUCAUUUUGAUCAUGUUUUACAUUGUCAAGUAAGUAUUAAUUGGCAGUUUGAUCCCUUAAAAAAUGCUGUUUUCACACUCAAAACUGAAUUUUACUCUCUUAUUAUGUUCCGUUAAAUGAUUAGGAAUAUUAAACUAACACAAAAACGGGUGGUGGUCCAGCAGCCCCACCUUUAACGGAGGCAGAGGAGGUGCCCCCCCCCCACACCCCCCCACCCCCCCCCCCCCCCACCCCCCCCCGUUCGACGAUCGCGGCCGGUCCGAUCGCAAAUCCCCCCCCCCCCACACACACACACACACACACGCACACACACGCACACUAGUCCGACGAUCGCUGCUCCGGGGUGGGGGUUGCGAUCGUCGAGGGGGGGGGGGCAGCUCCUCUGCCUCCGUUAAAGGUGGGGCUGCUGGGCCACCACCCGUUUUCCUGGCAUCUGCCCUCUUUCUGUUUGCUGAGUGAAAGUCUAAUAUUGAGUGUAGUGUGUGUUAGUUUAAUAUAUGUACAUAUACAUACUGAGAGUUAGUUUAAUAUUCCUAAUCAUUUAACGGAACAUCAUAAGAGAGUAAAAUUCAGUUUUAAGUGUGAAAAGAGCAUUUUCUAAGGGAUCAAACUGCCACUUAAUACUUACUUGACAAUGUAAAACAUGAUCAAAAUGAUUCAAGCAGUUUCCCUGCAACAGUCUGUCAUUGUGAUUGCACGAGACUAGAUUUAAAGUUACGCAUUGACGCGAGCAGCGAUUUCCUCCCAUGCCCUCUCCCUCUGCUUUGCAGCUGCUGCUGUAUUGCACUUUCUUUUAAAAACGUGCUGUAAUUCGCUGUUGGCUUGCUGCUGCCCCCUCCUUCUCCUUGUUUCCAUUGGUUGAUCAUUGAAUCUGCGCUCCACAGAUGCUGGCUGUUUAUGUCUGGCGUGCACGUGCUUAACUCCAGGUCAAACUACUCGGAGUUGUUAAAACCGUCUCAAAUCAGGUGUUGUGAAACCGAAAACUCAGAGUUUCCUAACUCAGAGUAGAUCAACUCAGAGUUAAGGAUUUAACUCAGAGUUUGUUGAACCACCUACGUGAAACGGACCCCAGGUCUAGACCAUGCUCAUUGUUUGAUGAUCAAGAACCAACCUAAGAUGGGUUUUGGCCCAUCUCAUCUAACAUGAAUAGCAGUGGCAAGGAAAAACUUUCUUUUAACAGGCAGAAACCUUGGGCAGGACCUGACUCAUGCCAGUCAGCCACCAUGCCGCUGCUUGGUGGGGGAGGAAUGUAGAGAGAUAAAAGGAGAGAGAGAGAGAGAGAGGGAGAGAGAGAGAGAGAAGAGGGGAGAGGGCAGGGGGAGAGAGAGAGAACAAGAUAAGGGAAGGGGGGAGAGAAUGAGUAAGGAGAGGGAGGAGGAGGGAGAGAGAGUAGAGAACGAGGGUGAGAGAGAGACAGGGGACAGCAGAAACAACAGCAACAACAACAACAACAGCUCAUGUAAUGCUGAAACAAAAUGAGCUCAGUUUACAGGGUUAGGAUAUGAGUAAUUAUGGACUAUGUUAAAUUAAUUAAAUGUGAUUACAGUCAGCAGGCCUAAUAGUAGUCAACUCUAGUUUUAUGUUAUUAAUGUCAGUGAGGCUGAUGUUCAUGUCUGCAGUAACAGUCCAGAGGAAUCCAAGAGAAGAAGGAGCUCAGGGCCUGAGGCGGACGAUCGUAGACGAUGCGGCUAGAGUCAGGCAGGUCUGCAGCAUCAGUCCAGAGCAACCUAGGGGGCUGGGGCUCAGAGACAUACAGAGAGAUCUGGUUAGCAAUUUGAUGAGAGAAAAUGACUUUAAUGUACAGGGUAAUGAAGUAACUAAUUAUGGACUAUGCUAAAUUAAUUUAAGGUGAUUAAAGUUAAAACUCAAGUUUUAUUUCAUAGAUGUCAGAUAGGCUGACGUACGUGUCUGCAGCAAUGGUCCAGAGGAGCCUAAGAGAUGGAGGAGCUCAGGGCCUAAGGUGGUCAAUCAAGGAUGUUGCAGCUGGGAUCAGGCAGUUCCGCAGCAGACCGUCUGCAGCAUUAGUCCAGUGGAAGCUAAGAGACUCAGAGACACUCAGAGGGACAGAAAUCUGGUUAGUGACUUAUAUGGGACAUAAAGAUCUAAAGGAGAGAUAGAGACAGACUCUAGCUCAGUGUGCCAGAUAACCCCGACAGUCUAGGCUUAUAGCAGCAUAACUAAGAGCUGGUUCAAAUCAGCCCCAACUAUAAGCUUUAUCAAAGAGGAACGUUUUACGUCUACUCUUGAAAGUUGAGAGGGUGUCUGCCCCCCGAACCUCGAGCGGUAAAUGAUUCCAGAGGAGAGGUGCCUGGUACCUGAAAGCUCUUCCUCCAAUACUACUUUUAGAGACAUUUGGUACAACAAGCAGGCCUGCAGACUGUGAGCGUAACUGUCUAGACAGAAAGUAAGGUAUGACAAGCUCGUCGAGAUAUGAUGGAGCCUGGCCGUUAAGCGCUUUAUAUGUCAUAAGGAGGAUCUUAAACUCAAUUCUAGAUUCAAUAGGGAGCCAAAGAAGAGAGACUAAGACAGGAGAGAUGUGCUCCCUUCUUCUGGUUCUAGUCAAUACCCGAGCUGCUGCAUUUUGGACCAGCUGAAGAGUCCUUAAAGACUUACUGGAGCAGCCUGAUAAGAGAGAAUUGCAGCAUAGAGGUAACAAAGGCAUGGACCAUUUUUUUCCGCAUCACUCUGAGACAGAAUGGGUCUAAUUUUUGAGACAUUGCGCAGGUGGAAAAAAGCUAUCCUAGACAUUUGUUGAAUGUGGGAGCUAAAGGACAAAUCCUGAUCAAAUAAAACUCCCAGAUUUCGCACAGUGGGCUGGAUGCCAGACUGAUGCCAUCUAGCAUAGCUAUAUUAUUAGAGAAUGCCUCUCUAAGGUGUUUAGGACCGAGGACAAGAACUUCAGUUUUGUCUGAGUUGAGCAUCAGAAAGUUAUUGGUCAUCCAGGAUUUUAUAUCUUUGAGACAAGCUUCGAAUUUGAUAACCUGGUUUGCUUCUUCUGGCUUCAUGGAUAAACAUAACUGGGUGUCAUCUGCAUAGCAGUGGAAAUUAAUCGAGUACUUCCUCAUAAUUUUACCCAGAGGAAGCAUGUACAAGGUAAAGAGGAUUGGUCCAAGCACUGACCCUUGCAGGACUCCGUAGCAGACCUUGGUGUGCGCAGAGGAUUCAUUAUUAACAUGGAAAAACUGGGAUCAAUCCGUUAGAUAAGAUUUAAACCAGGAAAGAACAGAUCCUUCUAUGCCGAUAUAUUGUUCCAGUCUCUGAAGCCGGAUGCGGUAGUUGAUCGUGUCAAAUGCAGCACUAAGAUCCAACAGGACAAGAACAGAGAGAAGACCACAGUCCGAAGCCAUGAGUAGGUCAUUUGUCACCUUCAGCAGAGCAGUCUUCGUGCUGUGAUGGGUUCUAAAUCCAGACUGGAAAUCCUCCAAUAAACCGUUGUUAUGAAGAAAAUCACAAAGUUGAUUCGCAACUACUUUCUCCAGGACUUUAGAAAUAUAAGGAAGGUUGGAUAUUGGUCUAUAGUUAGCUAGGAUGCUUGAGUCAAGAGUAGGUACUUGAGUUACUUUUUUAAGGAGAGGCUUAAUCAAUGCAGUCUUAAAAGACUGGGGAACAUAUCCUGUUAAUAAAGACAUGUUGAUCAAGUUAAGCAAGGACGUACUGAUCAAAGGAAGAGUUUCCUUCAGCAGUUUAGAUGGAAUUGGGUCCAAAAGACACGUAAAUGGUUUGGCUGCCAGCACCACUGACUAUAAGUCAGGAAGGUCAAUAGGUGCAAAGUUACUAAGGUGCAUCAGAGGCCUUAGGGGUUCCUCAACAAUUUCAGGGUUAUCUAAGAGAAAGACACCUGACAAAGGCAAGAGGUUACCAAUUUGACCUCUUAUUUUUAAGAUUUUUUCAUUGAAGAAGCUCAAGAAGUCGUCGCUGCUGAGGGCUACUGGGAUACACGGUUCAGCAGUGCUCUUACAGUCCGUCAGCCUGGCUACAGUGCUGAAGAGAUAUCUGGGGUUAUUCUUAUUUUCUUCAAUAAGAGAUGAGUAGUAAGUUGUAUGAGCACGUCGUAAGGCCUUCUUAUAUUUAUCAAGACAUUCCUGCCAGAGAAAACGAGCUUCAGCUGUUUUGGAAGAGCGCCAAAUCCUUUCUCGUCUUCUUAAUAACUGUUUCAGCUCACGGGUUUCAGCAUUAUACCACGGAGCCAGCCUCUCGCGUGUAAGUGUUUUCUGUCGAAGAGGAGCAACUGCGUCAAGAAUUGAUCGCAAUGUGCCUGAGGUAUCAUCGACGAACUGAUCAAGUUGCAAGGGAAUGAUGUUCAAGUAUGAGCUAUCAGCGAAGUUCUUCUCAAGCACAGAAUUAAGAGCAGAUGGACUUGCCUCCUUGAACUUAGUCACAGCAUUUUCAGACAACCUUCUUGUUAGCACGGCUUUGUUAUGAGGAGAGUAGCCUGAAAGCACAAAUUCAAAAGUUACUAGAAAGUGAUCCGAUAAAAGAGGAUUCAAUGAGCUGACUGACAAGGCUUCAGCUUCAAGCCAGGACAAGAUCGAGGGUGUGGUUAAAGCAGUGUGUAGGUCCAUGUACACACUAUGUAAACCCAAUUGAGUCUAGCAAGGACAAGAAAGAAUAGCUUAGGCUAUUGUUGUGUCUGGGCUGUCCUCGAUGUGAAGAUGCAGAAGGAGGUUUCGUGACACUGGCUUGCUUGUAUAAGAGGAGUUUAUUAUAAAGACAACACCAGUAUCAGAACAGCACUGCAGUUGCUGGGAGAGGACUGCCAAUGAUGUCCAGCUCUCCCAACCAGAGUUAAUGACCCUGUUAUAUACGGUUAGGGAUGUAAGCCCUCCUACAUCCCUUCUUUGUCCCCAAGAUAUCUUUCAUUACCAUCUGGUUUUUGGUUAACCUAGAGUUUUGCUUUGCGACCUGUGACCUGCAAACGUGCCCCUUCCAGGAUAUCCCGACCCAGGUACCACCGAGACACAAGAAAAACACAAGCCCACAUUCCACAAUUGGUUCUAAGGCUAUUCCUGAGAAAUACCGUAAGGCAAUGCAUAUUGAUGUAGAACUCCAGAUACCAUACUAUCAUUUUCCACAUCCACAUGAAUAUUAAAGUCACCAACUACAAUGACUUUGUCUGCACGAAGGACUAGAUCAGAUAGAAACUCUGAGAAUUCUGACAAAAACUCAGAGUAUGGGCUGGGAGGGCGAUAAACUAUAGCAAAUACCAGUGGUCUCAUGGUCUUUGAGGCUGAAGACUGAGAACAAGACUUUCAAAAGAGGUAUACUCCAGUUUCGGUCUUGGGUUAAUUCAAAGACUGGAAUUGUAAAUAGCUGCAACUCCACCACCUCGGCCAGAGGCCCGAGGAAUGUAAAAGCUUAGGUGGCUAGGAGGAGUGGAUUCAUUCAAGCUGACAUAUUCAUCCUGACGCAACCAAGUUUCGGUUAGGGAGAGUAAAUCAAUGCGAUGAUCAGAGAUUAGUUCAUUUAUUAACACAGCUUUGGAACUUAGAGACCUUGUGUUCAGUAGACCACAUUUUAUCUUACUACUACUCGGUUCAGCUAUGUUACCAGUUUUAAUUCUAGAAAGGUUCUUGUUAUUUACUCUUUUGUUAAUCGAUCGGUUAGAAUUAAAGAGCCAAGGAUGAGGGACAGACACAGUCUCUAUAUUAAAGUGACAGUAGCUAGGAGGCUGCUCUGAACAAAAGUGCAGAGGAAUGUGUAGAACUGCGGCUAUGCUCCCUGAUCUCUAUAUCAAACUGAUUGUAGCUAUGAAGCUGCUCUGAAGGGAGUACAGAGGGGCGUGUAGGACUGCGGCUCUGCUCCCUGAUCUCUAUAUCAAACUGAUUGUAGCUAGGAGGCUGCUCUGAGGGGAGUACAGAGGAGCGUUUAAGACUGCAGCUCUGCUCCCUUGUCUCUGUAUAUAAGUGAUAGUGGCUGGGAAGCUGCUCUAAAGGAGGCGCAGGGGGGCGUGUAGGACUGUGGCCCUGCUCCCUGAUCUCUGCUCUGAAUUGUCAGUGUUUCGGACUAAUAAAAUCAGCCAGAUUUCUGAAUAAACGGGCCGCUCUAUCUCGAGUGGGAUGAAUGCCGUCCUAACUAAUCAGACCAGGCUUGCCCCAAAACGACUUCCAAUUAUCAAUGAAGCCCACGCCGUUUUGCGGACACCGCCUCGACAGCCAGCGGUUGGAUGAUGAGAUAUGGCUACAUAUCUCAUCAGUUGUCUGAUCAGGCAGGGGACCAGAGAAAACUACGGAGUCCAACAUGGUUUUGGCAUAUUCACACACCGAUUCCACGUUCAAUUGAGUGACUUCCGACUGGCGGCGCCAGGAGUCAUUAACGCCGACAUAUAUUACAAUCUUACGGAAUUUACAUUUAGCCUUUGCCUACACUUAAAGCAGGUAUCGUUAUCGUCUAAGGAGGAUGAAGAGUAACUAAACAUCUGACACACUGAGCGGAAGCGAGCAGAAGAAGCAGGAGACCAGGGGGCAGCCAUUGUUAGCAAGUGAAGCUAAGAGAAGCUAAGCUAAGAGAAGCUACCAGCUAGUAAAGUAAAGUAAACCACCAGAGAGAUCACCCGAAAUGGAGAUAAAGAUGGUGCUUGGUGAAAACUAUCAGAUAUACUUUUAAACAAACAGAUGUAUUGAUAGAUUAAAGAGAGAAUGGGGUGUAGAUUGGCCUGAGCAAAUGUGGUGCCGGUGGAACGAAAGCCUUCGGAGGAGUUAGCGAAAUUCCAAUGUGUGCGGAUCGGCAAAAAAUGCAGAAUAACCCUUUAACCGUACAUUUGACAGAUACGCGCGCAUUGACUUUUUCGUAGAUCUUAUUGAGUUACAUGUGUGUGUCAAUUUUUGUGUCAUUUUGACAAAGCGUAGAGGCGUGACACUCAACAAUGUGUAUUUUCACCUUAGGGGACAAGAAAAAAUGGACUUUUUUCUCCUGCCAUGGGGGGGCGCUCUUUUGGGGAGUAAAAAUUCCUUCACAAAUGUGUUGAUGGCUGGACAUUGCAUCAUCCUAGAAAACUUGGAGGCCAGUGAGGACAAAAAUAAAAAGUUAUAAGACUUUUAAAUAUGUGGAUUUUAGUGUUAUCUUUGGCGCCCCCUAGAACCUAAACCUUGGGGUGCAGCGUCAUGAUUUUGAUAACUUUUAAUGGCCACGGGGUGUAGAUUGGCCUGAGCAAAUGUGGUGCCGGUGGAACGAAAGCCUUCGGAGGAGUUAGCGAAAUUCCAAUGUGUGCGGAUCGGCAAAAAAUGCGAAAUAACCCUUUAACCGUACAUUUGACAGAUACGCCCGCACUGACUUUUUUGUAGAUCUUAUUGAGAUACAUGUGUGUGUCAAUUUUUGUGUCAUUUUGACAAAGCGUACAGGCGUGACAGUCAAUAGUGUGAAUUUUCACCUUAGGGGGCGCUAUGGAGCCAUUUUGCAUUUUCUUGUUUGGGCGACUUCGGAAUAUCAAAUUUUUCACCAGGCCCGGUCGUCCUGCCAAAUUUCCUGAGUUUUCGCCAGUGGGAAGUGGGCCAUUUUCCAGUUCAAAGGGGAGGAAAAAGAAGAAAGAAAGAAACAAAGACUAGGGCCCCGGUGGGGCACUGUCGGGCCCGAGCCGCGUCGCGCCGCCCCUAGCGCGACCGCCUCCCCCUCCCGAUCGCGUCACACUCAAGGUCCAAAGAUGGUGUGCGCACUUGUCUGUGGUCAUUUCCCAUUAUAAUGAAUGGGAGGCGCAGUUUCUACCAAAACACUCGCUGCAGACAAACUUCAUGUCCUAUUUGAAAAAAGUCUGGACCAUGAGUGAGGGCACAAACACAGCUAUGAUAUAUCGAAAUGGCAGGUUGCUCCUCCUUACGGUGUUGCCUGGAGAGCGAUGCGAUUGAGCCAUUGAGCGAUGGGCAGGGUUAACUUGACUUUUUCUCCUGCCUUGGGGGGGAUGUGGAUUCCUUUAAGAAUGUGGAUUUUUGGGUCAUCUUUGGCGCCCCCUAGAAGGUAAACCGUGGGGUGCAGCGUCAUGAUUUUUACAACUUUGAAUGGCCAUGGGGUGUAGAUUGGCCUGAGCAAAUUUGGUGUCAGUGGGACGAAAGCCUUAGGAGGAGUUAGCCACAUUCCAAUGUGUGCGAAUCGGCAAAAAAUGCAAAAUAGCCCUUUAAACGUACAUUUGACAGAUACGCGCGCAUUGACUUUUUUGUAGAUCUUAUUGAGAUACAUGUGUGUGUCAAUUUUUGUGUCAUUUUGCCAAAGCGUACAGGUGUUACACUCAACAAUGUGUAUUUUCACCUUAGGGGACCAGAAAAAAUGGACUUUUUUCUCCUGCCAUGGGGGGGCGCUCUUUUGGGGAGUAAAAAUUCCUUCACAAAUGUGUUGAUGGCUGGACAUUGCAUCAUCCUAGAAAACUUGGAGGCCAGUGAGGGCAAAAAUAAAAAGUUAUAAGACUUUUAAAUAUGUGGAUCUUAGGGUUAUCUUUGGCGCCCCCUAGAACCUAAACCGUGGGGUGCAGCGUCAUGAUUUGAAUAACUUUUAAUGGCCAUGGGGUGUAGAUUGGCCUGAGCAAAUGUGGUGCCGGUGGAACGAAAGCCUUCGGAGGAGUUAGCGAAAUUCCAAUGUGUGCGGAUCGGCAAAAAAUGCGAAAUAACCCUUUAACCGUACAUUUGACAGAUACGCCCGCACUGACUUUUUUGUAGAUCUUAUUGAGAUACAUGUGUGUGUCAAUUUUUGUGUCAUUUUGACAAAGCGUACCGGCGUGACAGUGAAUAGUGUGAAUUUUCACCUUAGGGGGCGCUAUGGAGCCAUUUUGCAUUUUCUUGUUUGGGCGACUUCGGAAUAUCAAAUUUUUCACCAGGCCCGGUCGUCCUGCCAAAUUUCAUGAGUUUUCGCCAGUGGGAAGUGGGCCAUUUUCCAGUUCAAAGGGGAGGAAAAAUAAUAAUAAUAAUAACAAACUAGGACCCCGUUGGGGCACUGGCGGGCCCGAGCCGUGUCGCGUCCCCCCCCCCCCCCCAACGUGCUGCCUCCCCGUCCCAUUUGUGUCCUCUGGCCAUCGUCCUCUCUGGUAACGCCCAUCACUGCAAAGACCCUUUCCUUCAUCGGCGUUUGCUGUUCUUCCUGCCAGUGCGUGUUGCUUUCACUUACACUUGCCACAGCCAGCCUCGUGAGUGCCUAGCCUAUUGGAUAUCACUGUCAUCUACACAGGACAGUCAUAACCUUUCUAUUAAUACUUUGUUUUUUAAUUUCACAUUAAUUUCCAUAUUGUAUAAAUGACUGGAAAAAACUUGAGCCCCUGCCCCUGUAUAAUCAUGUGCACGUCCCUGUUCUAGCUCCAAGGUGAAUCUUCACUGCUCAUGUUCUCCUCAGAAAUAGUCACCUCACUCCCCUCAGGUUACUGUACACAUGCACCAACUAUCUGCUUCAGGUUUGGAUGGAGCUUCAUGGUUGUCUUUUGGAGAAAUGAACAGUCAAGUUGUGUUUGAAAUUUGAUUUUUUUCAGGGGCAAAAGGAGCCUCUGCAUUCUUGUCAAAUAUGUAAACAGCAUGUUUUUGCAGGUGCUAAAAAACAGACUCUGAGUGUGUGUGUGUGUGUGUGUGUGUGUGUGUGUGUGUGUGUGUGUGUGUGUGUGUGUGUGUGUGUUGGCGUGUGUGUAUAUGUGUGUGUAUCCUGCAGUACUCUGUACUCCUGCAGUGGCCAAAAAGACUUUUAAGAAUGUGGAUUUUUGGGUCAUCUUUGGCGCCCCCUAGAACUGCAGUACUCUGUACUCCUGCAGUGGCCAAAAUGACUUUUAAGAAUGUGGAUUUUUGGGUCAUCUUUGGCGCCCCCUAGAACGUAAACCGUGGGGUGCAGCGUCAUGAUUUUUACAACUUUGAAUGGGCAUGGGGUGUAGAUUGCCCUGAGCAAAUUUGGUAUCAGUGGGACGAAAGCCUUAGGAGGAGAUAGCCACAUUCCAAUGUGUGCGAAUCGGCAAAAAAUGCGAAAUAGCCCUUUAACCAUACAUUAUACAGAUACGCGCUCUUUGACUUUUUCGUAGAUCUAAUUGAGAUACACAUGAUUGUCAAUUUUUGUGUCAAUAUGACAAAGCGUUCAGGCGUGACACUCAACAAUGUGUAUUUUCAUGUAAGGGGACAAGAAAAAAUGGACUUUUUUCUCCUGCCAUGGGGGGGCGCUCUUUUGGGGAGUAAAAAUUCCUUCACAAAUGUGUUGAUGGCUGGACAUUGCAUCAUCCUAGAAAACUUGGAGGGCAGUGAGGACAAAAAUAAAAAGUUAUAAGACUUUUAAGAAUGUGGAUUUUUGGGUUAUCUUUGGCGCCCCCUAGAACCUAAACCGUGGGGUGCAGCGUCAUGAUUUGUACAACUUUUAAUGGCCAUGGGGUGUAGACUGGCCUGAGCAAAUGUGGUGCCGGUGGAACGAAAGCUUUCGGAGGAGUUAGCGAAAUUCCAAUGUGUGCGGAUCGGCAAAAAAUGCGGAAUAACCCUUUAACCGUACAUUUGACAGAUACGCGCGCAUUGACUUUUUCGUAGAUCUUAUUGAGAUACAUGUGUGUGUCAAUUUUUGUGUCAUUUUGCCAAAGCGUACAGGUGUUACACUCAACAAUGUGUAUUUUCACCUUAGGGGACAAGAAAAAAUGGACUUUUUUCUCCUGCCAUGGGGGGGCGCUCUUUUGGGGAGUAAAAAUUCCUUCACAAAUGUGUUGAUGGCUGGACAUUGCAUCAUCCUAGAAAACUUGGAGGCCAGUGAGGGCAAAAAUAAAAAGUUAUAAGACUUUUAAAUAUGUGGAUCUUAGGGUUAUCUUUGGCGCCCCCUAGAACCUAAACCGUGGGGUGCAGCGUCAUGAUUUGAAUAACUUUUAAUGGCCAUGGGGUGUAGAUUGGCCUGAGCAAAUGUGGUGCCGGUGGAACGAAAGCCUUCGGAGGAGUUAGCGAAAUUCCAAUGUGUGCGGAUCGGCAAAAAAUGCGCAAUAACCCUUUAACCGUACAUUUGACAGAUACGCCCGCACUGACUUUUUUGUAGAUCUUAUUGAGAUACAUGUGUGUGUCAAUUUUUGUGUCAUUUUGACAAAGCGUACCGGCGUGACAGUGAAUAGUGUGAAUUUUCACCUUAGGGGGCGCUAUGGAGCCAUUUUGCAUUUUCUUGUUUGGGCGACUUCGGAAUAUCAAAUUUUUCACCAGGCCCGGUCGUCCUGCCAAAUUUCAUGAGUUUUCGCCAGUGGGAAGUGGGCCAUUUUCCAGGUCAAAGGGGAGGAAAAAUAAUAAUAAUAAUAAUAACAAAAGAAGGAAACUACAGGAACAAGAGGGCUCUCGCAGCUGCUUAGCAGCUACGCUCGGGCCCUAAAGAAGGAAACUACAGGAACAAGAGGGCUCUCGCAGCUGCUUAGCAGCUACGCUCGGGCCCUAAAAAACCCCUACAGGAAUAACAGGGCCUACGCCCGGCUGCUCUGCAGCUGGCUCGGGCCCUAAUAACAGCAACAACAACUACAAAAAAAAACAAAAAAAAAACAUCUCUGGAGUAACCCAACUCAAAAUCGUUGUUAGAAUCUGAACCUGUCAGCGGCAAAAACAAAAAGCUUUACUGACCAUACUAAGCUGUUGUCCAGUUUGAUGACAUUCUUCCUUGAACUGAAAAGGCUCACACUACAAAAUAAAACCAGAAAGUUAUGGUUCAUUUGGUGAUGUAUUUUACAUAGGUUAUGUUAAGUUACAUAUUUUUUAAAAAAUAUUAACAGCAGCAACACCAGUAGUACCAUCAUCAGUGGACAACAACUGUGUAAGAGUUUAAUAAGGGGGGCUUACUUUGGUUUAAAUAAAGGAAAAAAAGGAGUAGCACUUAUGUACCCACCAAAAAUGUUACUCAACUAGAAUCAGUCUGGUGUUUUCAAGAGUUUGUUUUAACACUGAGAGAGCCUGUUUACUUGAGAACUACAUGUUAUUUGCUGCAUUAGGUUUACAGAAUAAUCCCAAGUUUUUAGAUAAACGAUUAAAUCAUUUUGAUACACAGAGUGCCAUUCAGUAACUUUUAUAGAAAAUUAGGUGAUCACUGGAAACACUAAUUUCAACUUUAUAGAUUUACUGUAGGAAGAAUCCUAAAAGCCUGUCAUUGCAGUCAACUCAAGCUCCUUUAUUAAGUCACUCACAUCUUCAUCAAGGUAAUCAAUGAGAUAUCAGAUGACAACUUAUCUGGUUGUCUGGAUGCCAAUUUCACUCUGUUAAGAAGUACUUUUUUACAGUAGACAAUGUACACUUUUUACUCUUGUGCUCACUCUAUCCUUGAGGAAUAUUUAUGCAUGAUAGGUGGAGGAGAGCAGUGGCUUGAGACAGGGGUUAACAGUAAUACCCAGAGUAGAGUGUUCAUUUCUGCACAAUGUCUCUCUCCUUUUUUUUUUUUUUAAUUGGGUGAUGCAAGACAGAUCAUGACAGGUGGUUGACAACAUAUAAACAGUACAAACAGACAUUGGGGACAAGACAAAGUGACUAGUACAGCAGGGACACAACUUUUGCAUACAUUUAUAAAGUGUUGCAAGGCUGUGUUUAAAGUGUGGGUGGAGGGGUGUUUAUUUGUGUGUCGAGAAGUGUGUGUGUGUGUGUGUGUGUGUGUGUGUGUGUGUGUUUGUGGGUGUGAAUUUUCCCCUCUUUUUAAAUUAUGAUAAUUGUUGAGAAGAGAGUAAAAGAGGAAAAGCUUAGCGUUAUGCCAUAAUAAUAAUUACAAUAAUAAUUAUAAUAAAGAAGAGAGAGAGAGAGAGAGAGAAUAAUAUUAAUAAUAAUAAUAGAAGAUAAAAUGAAAAAUAAGUGGAUAUAUAAAUAGUAGAAAAAUAAGUAGAUUUUUAUAAACACACACACACACACAAACAAACACACACACAUACAUAUGUACGUAAAUAUAUAUAUAUAUAUAUUAGGGCUGUCAAUCGAUUAAAAUAUUUAAUCGCAAUUAAUCGAAUUGUGAUCAUAAUUAAUCAUGAUUAAUCGCAAAUUGAUCGCAUAUUUUUGAUCCAUUCUAAAUCGAUCUUUUUUAAAUUGUUUUACUUUUAUCAACAUGAGAAUCAACAUGAGAACAGAUCGUGGAUUUUCGUGGUAAUGGUGGUCCUACAAGGUAAUUAAUAUGUCCAGUCAACGUCCUGCACAAUGCUAAUCGUCCGAUUUCUGUUUCACAUUCACCGUUGUUUGCUUGAGGCGGGGGGGGGGGGGGGGGGGGGGGGCUCUCUGCAUCAGCUCAUCAGCUGUGUGCUUGGCCGACAAGUGAUAUUUGAGACUAGAUGUACUCCGAUGACUAAAUUCAGCUCGACAGGAAACACAAAUGACUUUUGUCCUGUCAAGAGAGCCAUCUGACAAGGCUUUGUAGCUGAACUAUCUGUUCAAAAUCGUGUUCUUAUCCAUUAUAUCCUAGUUACUGCUCACGGGGAUUUGUUUAUGCCUGCUGCGGUAUCAGUCAGUGCUCUACUUCCUGAUUCGCGAAACUACGGAGUGCCCCGAGGCUCACAUAGCCUGGACACCUCACCAACUGUUCCUCUACCCUUUUACAACGGCAAGAAUAUCCAUGCAGUGUGUGUAUAGUUUGAUCAAGCCAGGCUAAGGCUUCCGUUAAUCGUGUGUCAAAAAAAUUAGUGGCGGUAAAAGUCACUUGAGUUAACGCGACAAUAACGCGUUAACUUUGACAGCCUUAAUAUAUAUGUGGCAGGCAGCACCUUGCUGCUAUUGAAUGCAGCUCUCCCUCCUCCUCUAACCCCUCCCUUCCCCUAAUCAGGUCAGCUGAACAAAAGGCAGCAGCUCACCUGCAGUCGGCCUUCUGAUCUGCUCAGAGUGCUGGUGAGUAGGGUGGCUGGUAACUUUUUAAUCUUUAGAGUUUUAUGAUUGCUUUUAACAGCAUGUCCUUUUUGUUUGUAGGUGGUAGACCUGCUGCUGUUUUGUUGCCCCCAUUAAUUGUAGUUAUUUUUGCCUGUUUACUUUGAUUGUUUCUGCCCUUUUGAUUGGUUUCCCCCCUUACUUGGUUUGUUUCUACUUCUAAGUUUGGUUGUUUUACAUAGUUACUCCCCCAUUAGUUUGCAUUCUGUUCUUAGUUACCCUUAGUUGCUUUUCUCCUUAGUUCCCUCUAGUUUUACCAACUGGGUUCGCUGGGUUGUUUGUUUGUUUCUUUGGUUAAUCCUUUUAUUUUAUUUCAGAGGUUGAGCCCACUAGUUUGGGAGGCUAGGCACCCCGGGUGAGGGCCCUCCACCUUUGCAUGAGUUUGACACCGGGUCACAAGACUACACCGAUUUUGUUUCUUUUGUUGAAGGUUUGCAGUGUGUGUGCUGUGCUUCACUUGGUGAGUAUAAGGGAGCACCCCCCUGCACUUUCCCUCUGUAGUCUGCCUCCCUUCUGGUGGCCUCAGCUUAUCUUAAGUUAACUUAGUUUGGGUUUCUUUGAUUUAGUUUAAGUUGGGGUUAUUGUACUUUUUAACUUUUGUAGAAGGCCUUGUUUUAAAUUUUAUUAUAGAAAUAAAAUUAACUUUCUUGCCCCUUAUCUGUGUUUUGUUAUGUUGUUUUAACUUUAUCCCUUUCUUUCCCACCUAGGUUAAAUUUCUCAGUUAUAUUUACGUUUAACUUCAUUUUUUUUAUCUAAUAAACAUUUUGAAAUAUUUUGAACUCUGUCUCUGCCUCUUCAGAACUUACCUGUGUUGCCUUUAUCCUUAUUUUAGCUUCCUGUUUUAGUUUGAAAGUUCAGUUUCCUGGGGUGCAAGUCCCCAGGUGGCGUUGCUGGUUGGAGACAAUAUUCUCUAUUUUUAAAUAAAAUAGCACCCCCUUGCCACAUUCUGGCGUUGCCGGCAGGAUUCUGUUAAAGGCAGAGACGUGUGUAUUUUUCCUUCUUUUGCAACCCAGUUGGUGUAGAUUUUUUUUUUUUCUUCCUUUUCUAUUGGUAUUUUUGUGUUUGUGGGGCAAAACAGCAGCAGGUCCGGAGGGAUCCCUGUGCUGCACCCCUGGUACUCUGCUAAUCUCCUCUGCUCUGCUUCCCCAUGGAGGAGGAAAUCGCUCAACUGAAGGAGCUGGUCGCCCAGCUGCAGGCUGAGAAUCAACGCAUGCGUCAAGAGUGGCAGUCCAGUCUUCCUGGGCCCAGCACCUCAAGCUCAACUACAUCUGGCCCCCCUACAGUUAACAAUAUGGUAACUGAAAGACUGGUUUACCUUCCUCGGGAGAGAAAAUGUCCCAUGUUUAGGGGCAGGACUGGAAUUAGCAUUGUUGAGUGGGUGGAAGAAGUCCAUGCUUGCACCCGUGCUAGAAAUAUGUCCACAGUUGAGCAAGCACUUUUCCUUUUUGACCAUUUAGAGGGGGAAGCCAGAGAAGAGAUUAAGUACAGACCUCAGCAGGAACGGGAAGAUCCAAACAAGGUUUUGGCUAUAUUACAGGAACUGUAUGGGUGUUCAAGGUCUUAUGUGUCUUUGCAAGAGGAGUUUUUCUCUAGAAAACAACAAGAUGGGGAAACAUUGCAAGAAUUUUCACAUGCUUUAUUGUGUCUAAUGGACAAGGUUGAUAAAAAGACACCAAAUGUUCUUCCUAACAAAGAUGUGUUACUGAGAGACCAAUUUGUUGAACAUGUUGUUGAUUGCUCCCUUCGCAGAGAACUGAAGCAAUAUGUCAGAAGCCACCCUACAGCCAGCCUGAUAGAUGUCCGCAGUGAGGCUAUUAGGUGGGAGCAGGAGGGAUUGUCCACCAGUGGGAGGGGUAGAAGCCACUCUGUGCCUAAUGUCUUUGGUUUUCAACAAACUGUUCAGCAAGGGUACCCCAAUCAUAGCCAGGCAGGUAGCUCCUUCAAUUCUGAGUUAGGUGAGCUGAAAGAAAUCCUUAAAAACCAGCAAGAGCAACUGAAUAAGCUAACUCAAAGUUUAGCCACCUUAAACGAUGUUCAAAACACCCAACCAAAUGGCCGCAGGAAAAAUGUCAUUUGUAGGAGGUGUCAUAAGCCUGGCCACUUUGCUAGGGAGUGUGAGGAAGAGUUCCCAGCCCCACAGCCUCCUGUUCAUUCAAUGCAGUUUCGCUCUAAUGGUAGACAGCCCUCUCAGAACCAGGGAAACUUUCGCCCCCUGAACCAUUGAGCCAAAGUUCAGGUGGGGGCCCCUUAGGCUCAGACUCUGCUGCUAAUAAUCCUGAUAACUUGGUGUAAGUCUGCCCAACCUUAGCUGUACUUAUGGGGGGAGUUUCAGUUCCAUGCCUGGUUGAUACAGGUUCAAUGGUGUCAACUAUAACUGAAAGUUUCUUUGCUCAACAUUUUGAACCAUGGGGUCCAGACAAACUCCAGUGUUGUAAUUGGUUGAGAUUGAGUGCAGCUAAUGGUUUGGCCAUACCGUACAUUGCAUACCUGGAGUUAGAUGUUCAGCUGUGCGGCAGAGUCAUAGCAAAGCGAGGUGUUUUGGUGGUCAGGGAUCCCCCACACAGUGAACAUUCAGUUCCAGGUGUCCUUGGUAUGAACAUCAUAAAGGAAUGUUACCAGGAGUUGUUUGUACUUCAUGGCCCUGCUCUGUUUAACUUACCUUCUGUGUUGCAGGCCCCUAUCCAAGUUCAGCAGGCCUUUCAAAAGUGUCAUCAGGCCCAAGCAGCUGCCCCUUCUGGUCAUUCCAGUCGGGUCAAGGUGAAAGGUGGGAGGGUUUGUAGAGUUCCUGGGGGUUCUCUAAAAAUUGUGGCAGCCACCUGCUCUCAGCAUCACCUUGGGGAAGUUUUGUUUGAGCCCCUUAGCACAGGUUUGCCUGCAGGUCUGCUAGCAUCCCCAGCACUCGUUCAGGUGAGCAGAGGCACAGCUUACAUCCCUGUUGUAAAUGUUGGAAGCCAGGAUGUUGUACUGUACCCGAGAACCGUUCUUGGCACCUUGAGUAAUGUUCACCUUGUGAGCUCGCCCACAGGUCUGGUAGAGGGGGAAGUAGCAGCCACACUUUCUUCUCAGACAGCGACCAGUUCAGUGCAAGAUAAGGUUGAUGCACUUGAUUUAACGGCCCUUACAGAACAGGAACAAGUACAAGUCAGGUCCUUGUUGCACAAGUACAGUGGUGUCUUUUCUUCACAUGAAAGUGACAUAGGAUGCACAAACCUCAUUUCUCAUGACAUACCUUUAGUGGAUGAGGUCCCAGUACGUCAGAGAUACAGACGCAUCCCCCCUUCAGAGUAUGAGGCAGCAAAGGCUCACAUUCACCAGCUUUUAGAGGCCCAGGUUAUUAGAGAAAGUAGUAGCCCCUUUGCCUCUCCUAUUGUGUUGGUGAAAAAGAAGGAUGGUAGCCUCCGGUUGUGUGUGGACUACAGGCUCCUCAACAGCAAGACCCGAAAGGAUGCGUUUCCCUUGCCCCGCAUAGAGGAAUCCCUCGACGCUCUCUCAGGUGCCCAAUGGUUUUCAACCUUGGAUCUAGCUGCUGGAUAUAAUCAGGUACCAGUGACUGAGAAGGACAAAAUGAAGACUGCAUUUUGCACCCCAUUUGGGUUGUUUGAGUGGAACCGCAUGCCAUUUGGGUUAUGCAAUGCACCAAGUACCUUCCAGAGAUUAAUGGAGAGAAUCUUUGGAGAUCAGCAUUGUCAAUCAUUGUUACUGUACCUGGAUGAUGUGGUUGUGUUCUCUUCCUCUGUAGAGGAGCAUGUGAAACGCUUGGAUGUUGUGCUGGGUCGCCUACAAAAGGAGAAUCUCAGAGCCAAGCUAGAGAAGUGCACAUUCUUCAAACCAGAGGUGAGCUACCUUGGCCAUGUAAUAUCCAGGCAUGGUGUAUCUACAGACCCUAACAAGAUAGAAGUGGUGUCAAAGUGGCAGCACCCUGACCAAGUCUCGGAGCUGCGGUCUUUCUUGGGAUUUGCCAGCUACUACCGACGCUUUAUUGAAGGUUUUGCUAAGCUGGCUGCCCCCUUGCAUCACCUAGUGGCUGAGUUGACAGGAACAAAAUCUAAAAAACCAACAGGAAGGAGUCUGAGUGCUGCAUGGACUACAGAGUGUGAGCGGAGCUUUGAGGAACUCAAAACACGGUUAGUGACUGCUCCUGUUUUAGCCUAUGCUGACUUCAACUUGCCCUUCAUCUUGGAGGUUGAUGCUAGUUAUAGCGGGCUGGGUGCUGUCCUUUCACAAGAACAGAAUGGGAAGGUUCGACCCGUAGCUUAUGCCAGCCGAGGUCUCAAACCCGCAGAGCGUAACAUGGACAAUUAUAGCUCCAUGAAAUUGGAGUUUCUGGCUUUGAAAUGGGCCAUGACAGAAAAAUUCAGAGACUAUCUGUUAGGACAAAAGUGUAUGGUGUACACGGAUAACAACCCCCUCAGCCACCUAUCCACAGCAAAACUAGGAGCAACAGAGCAACGCUGGGCAGCACAACUGGCUUCAUUUGACUUCACCAUAAAGUAUUGGCCUGGUCGAAUUAACAAAAAUGCAGAUUCCCUCUCCAGGCAGCACCCAGUCAGCAGAACUGCAGGCUGUGAACCUCAUGGCCUCCCAGUUCCAGAGCAGUUGCAGCAGGCUAUUGAGUCAGGCCAGGUAACAAGAGCCACUCAGGCCACCAUUUCAGCAUUCCCCUCUCUCACUGACUCUGAUUUGUGUGCAUUGCAGGAGGCUGAUCCAACAAUCAGUGACUUUCUUCUGUUUUGGAGCAGAGGAAGGGGCCCUAAUGCAGCAGAAAGAGAGAAAGCCUCAAAGGAUGUCCUGACAUUGGUGAGACAAUGGAGCCGUAUAGAACAGAAAAACGGCAUUCUUCAUUGCGGAGUCUGUCAUCCCAGGGGAGAGGAGGUGUUGCAGCUGGUGCUACCACAGUCUCUAAAAAGUGAGGUUCUGCAUCAAUUACAUCAUGAACAGGGACAUCAAGGUGUGGACCGCACAACAGAUCUGGUCCACCAGCGGUGCUAUUGGCCUAGAAUGCACCAGGACAUCAAAGAAUGGUGCCAAAAGUGUGAACGCUGUCAGGUGGCAAAGCACACUCAACUCACUGCCUGUGCAUAUAUGGGACAUUUACUGGCAUCCCGGCCAAACCAGAUCCUCGCCGUGGACUUCACUAUCCUGGAAUCAUCAAAGAACGGGUUUGAGAAUGUCCUUGUUAUGACAGAUGUUUUCUCCAAAUACACCCAGGCGGUUCCAACCCGAGACCAGCUAGCAUCAACAGUGGCUAAGGUCCUCAUCAAUGAUUGGUUCUGCAGGUUUGGUGUACCGGGGCGUAUUCACUCCGACCAAGGCAGAAACUUUGAGAGCCACCUCAUCAAACAACUCUGCAGCAUGUAUGGGAUAGAGAAGAGUCACACCACCCCCUAUCAUCCAGCUGGUAAUGGACAAUGUGAACGUUUCAAUCGUACACUACACAACCUCCGAUGCACCUUACCAGUAACCAAGAAAAGGGAUUGGGCCAGCUACCUACCUCAGGUGACCUUCUCCUACAACACCACACCACAUCAAUCCACCGGUGAGUCCCCAUAUUUUCUAAUGUUUGGACAAGACCCUCACUUACCUGUAGAUUUCCUUCUGGGCAGAGUACCUGAACCCACAGCUGGCAGCACUCACGCCUGGAUCACAGAGCAUCAAACCCGACUCCAACAUGCAUUUGAGGCAGCUAGACAGCAUCUGGAGGCAGCAGCUGAAAAGCGUAAACAGAACUACGACCGACAUGUGAAGGAUGCUCCCCUACAAGAAGGCAAGCUUGUUUUCCUGAAGGAUGUGGGAGCAAGGGGGCGGCACAAGAUCCAAGACAUCUGGGGCCCAAUACUCUACAAAGUACUUAAGGCUCCAGCCGCUGGAGGAUCAGUGUACACCAUCGCUCCUGCUGACAACCUCGACCAGGUGAAGCAUGUCCACCGCUGCCUGCUGAGAGGUAAAGUGGAUGGUGUGACCGACUGCAACCCACCAGAGACCCCCCAAGUGGCUGAACCUCCUCCCCAGAAUGAAGCUUCAGCAGAUGGUGAAUGGUUUGUUGUGAUUCCUGAGGUAACCCCAGCAACAAGUCAACUUUUACCGACUCAGGCCCCCUUAGCAGCUCCCACAGAAUAUGCUGUACCACCACCUGCUCCUCAAGACCCUCAGCAGCAGUUGGAGGAGACAAACCCUAUAGCUCACAGUGGAGCAUCCCAGCGCAGGACCCCUCGCACAAAUGCUGGCCAACACCCUAACCCACAUCACCUCCCUCAGGCAGCACAGAGUAGGGCAAUAGGGGCUACGAACUCUCACACUCCCGGGCAUACUGCCUUUGUCUUUAGGCCAUGGCAGUAAGAGUAAAUCGUCGGGUCGCCGAUUCAAAACCCAGGGGCAGAUUGUGGCAGGCAGCACCUUGCUGCUAUUGAAUGCAGCUCUCCCUCCUCCUCUAACCCCUCCCUUCCCCUAAUCAGGUCAGCUGCAUAAAAGGCAGCAGCUCACCUGCAGUCGGCCUUCUUAUCUGCUCAGAGUGCUGGUGAGUAGGGUGGCUGGUAACUUUUUAAUCUUUAGAGUUUUAUGAUUGCUUUUAACAGCAUGUCCUUUUUGUUUGUAGGUGGUAGACCUGCUGCUGUUUUGUUGCCCCCAUUAAUUGUAGUUAUUUUUGCCUGUUUACUUUGAUUGUUUCUGCCCUUUUGAUUGGUUUCCCCCCUUACUUGGUUUGUUUCUACUUCUAAGUUUGGUUGUUUUACAUAGUUACUCCCCCAUUAGUUUGCAUUCUGUUCUUAGUUACCCUUAGUUGCUUUUCUCCUUAGUUCCCUCUAGUUUUACCAACUGGGUUUGCUGGGUUGUUUGUUUGUUUCUUUGGUUAAUCCUUUUAUUUUAUUUCAGAGGUUGAGCCCACUAGUUUGGGAGGCUAGGCACCCCGGGUGAGGGCCCUCCACCUUUGCAUGAGUUUGACACCGGGUCACAAGACUACACCGAUUUUGUUUCUUUUGUUGAAGGUUUGCAGUGUGUGUGCUGUGCUUCACUUGGUGAGUAUAAGGGAGCACCCCCCUGCACUUUCCCUCUGUAGUCUGCCUCCCUUCUGGUGGCCUCAGCUUAUCUUAAGUUAACUUAGUUUGGGUUUCUUUGAUUUAGUUUAAGUUGGGGUUAUUGUACUUUUUAACUUUUGUAGAAGGCCUUGUUUUAAAUUUUAUUAUAGAAAUAAAAUUUAACUUUCUUGCCCCUUAUCUGUGUUUUGUUAUGUUGUUUUAACUUUAUCCCUUUCUUUCCCACCUAGGUUAAAUUUCUCAGUUAUAUUUACGUUUAACUUCAUUUUUUUUAUCUAAUAAACAUUUUGAAAUAUUUUGAACUCUGUCUCUGCCUCUUCAGAACUUACCUGUGUUGCCUUUAUCCUUAUUUUAGCUUCCUGUUUUAGUUUGAAAGUUCAGUUUCCUGGGGUGCAAGUCCCCAGGUGGCGUUGCUGGUUGGAGACAAUAUUCUCUAUUUUUAAAUAAAAUAGCAGUGGCGAUUGCUCUAAGACUGCAAGGGAAGCUCAGCUUCCCUUAAAAUGUCACCCCCCAAAAAAAGAAAAAGUGGGGAAAUACGUACUGCUGUGUGUACAUUUCAUUAACUAAAUACGCGCUAGACAGCCUUCAUAUUUUGUUCAGAAUCAGUUUCUUAUCACACUGUGAUAAGAAGCUGAUUCUGCACAACUUCGUUCUCAUUCAUCCUCGCAGCGCCUCAGCGCUUUAAACAGCCGGACGCUCGGCUUCUGCUGACUUCAAUGUGGAAGCUCAAAGUGGGUUGUUCCAGCAGCGAAACUAGACGCUCAUUGGAUAAAUGCUGGGCUUUGUCCCGCCCAUCGGACGCUCAGCUUCUCUGGAGUUCUAUGGCGAGAGGGCGGUCCCAACUUUCUCCCGGACUCCGAGCUUCUGCAUCCAUGAUUGGAUGAGCUGUCUGAGGUGAAAUCUUUUUUGAUUGACAGCUAAACAAGCGAAUCAGCGAUCUUGAAGAAUAAAACAUCUACCAGAGCAUUUUCCAAGUUAUUCAUUCCGUUGUUCUUAACUGCUCCAGAGACUUCACCGAUCCUCAGCGACUUUUGUCUUUGUUAAAAACGACUGCCGUUGUGUUUGGCGUCUCUGUUCUGUUACAUACAAAUAAACAAACACAAUUAUGAUGUAGGCCAGAAAAAUGAGCUUCCCCUCCUUGAAAGACCAGCAGCCGCCACUGAUAUGUACAUAUAUUUAUAUAUAUAUAUAUAUAUAUAUAGAUAGAUAGAUUUAGCAUAAGUGUGCAAUUAAGCACAAGUUUCUGGUCUGUUAUUAAGUAUUCUGCCCCAUAUAUGUAAAUGGAGAAAAUUAAAUUAAAAAAAAAAGAUUGAAUUAAUAAGUAAAUAAAACAAAAUAAAUUAAUUUAUAAAUAAAUGAAAAAAGAUAAGUCAUUGAGUAAUAAAUAAUAAAUACCAUUUCCAUCAAAGGUUGUGGAGGCUAAAUUGUAUAAUAAUAAUCUAUACAAUAUACUAAUAGUGUAAAAUAAUGUACAUGGCAUAAAAGUUAAGUUGUAUAAUAUAAUAGAAUAGAAUAUAGAAUACAUGAUGCAAUAUGAACUAGAUUACAUAGUGAUAUAUUAAUAUCACAUUGAUUAUGUGAUGAUAAGUGAUACAAUAACGAAAUCAUAUAUAUAUAUAUAUACACACACACACACACACACACAUACACACAUACAUACACACAAUUCUGCACACACACUACAGGCCAAAAGUUUGGAAGCAAGAUCAGAUUUGUACAAAAAAAGAUCAUAGUUUCAUAUAUAUAAUUUGCAACACAAUAAACAUGACUAUUGUGUAAAUAGUAAUUUAUCAGAAGACAUUUUGACUAUAAUUAUUAGGUAUUUGAGUUAUUUUGCUUAGACUUUGCUUUCUUUAAAGUAACCUCCUCUGGCUUUAACAACAGCUUGGCAUGUACCAGGCAUUCGUUCCACAAGUUUUUUUUAAGGUAUGUUCCAGGGAUUGCAUUCCAAGCUUUCUUAAGUUCAUUAAGAAGAGACUGCUGAUUCGUGGGACGCAUUUUUCUGACCGAUCGAUCCAAUUCAUCCCACACAAGCUCAAUUGGAGAAAGGUCUGGAGACUGAGGGGGCCAAACCAUCUUUUGAAGAACACCUUCCUCUUCUUUUUUGUCUAGGUAACCCUGACAGAGCUUGGCAGAGUGCUUAGGGUCAUUGUCUUGCUGCAAAACAAACUUAUAAGCCACAAGUCUGAGUCCAGGCGGAACAGCAUGGUGCUGGAGGAUGGAGAGGUACUGUUCCUUCUUCGAGAUACCCUUUACUUCAAACAAAUCUCCUUCUCCAUCUCCUGCAAAACAUCCCCAUACCAUGGAACUACCACCUCCAUGCUAAAUUGUGGGUGUAACACAUGGUGCUUUCAGACAUUCACCAGUUUGUCUGCGGACAUAGACUCUGCGUUUUGAACCAAACAGUGCAAACUUGUUUCUAGUCAUCAUAAGUCCAAUUUUUGUGAGCUUUUGCCCACUCAUAUCUCUUUUUCUUGUUCUGUGGAUGAAGUAGUGUUUUAUUUGCAGAUACACAACCCUUCAGACCAGCCUCUCUCAAACGUCAUUUCACAGAUGUCAAAGAUAUGGGUUUCGACCUUGUCAUGUUGAUUUCCUCCCUUAUUUGUGGUGCUGUCUUUUGCCGAUCUCUCUUACCGAUGACAAUAAUAUGUCUAUCCUCUGCUUUUGUAGUGACUCUCUUUUGUGCAGGUCUUUUUCUAUCACCAUAACUUCCAGGUUCCUCUUGUCUCUUCAGAGUGUAGUGGACUCCUUUGUUAAAGGGGACCUGCCAUCAAAAUGUAAUUUUGUGUGUUUUUUGUGUCAGAUAAGGUCCAUAAUAUGUUCGUCUUAUGUUGUAAAUGUGAAAAAAAAAACAGUUACGUCGUUUGCAUUCUGUAAAGGUUUAAAAUAAAGUAACGGGUAAACCAGGCCAAUUGAAAAAGCAGGUCCCUCUGACGUCGCGCUGACCUUGCUCAUUAUUAUUCAUGAGCGUCCUCGGUGAGCCGUGCCCACUCUCUCGUUCUCGUACUCAUUCAGUCAACAUCACCCUCCAGCCAGAGCGAGACACAGCUACCACUGUAUCCGCUAUGGGUCUCUUCCAAACGACCGGUGUUUCCUUGGGUUCACUGCCGGGAAAAUGAACUUAAAGCUGGGCAGAAUGAAUGAGAAAACACAGCUGGAGAUCUCCGGCUUCUUCUUCAACUUCCACCUCCUCUUUGGACUCGGGGUCUAAAAUAUAUGGUUUAAUACCUGCCAUUUUUAGCCUUUAGCAUAAGGUGACCAGACGUCCCCGAUUUCCGGGGACAGUCCCCGUAUUAGAUGACCUGUCCCCGGCAAAAGCUGUCCCCGAAAAUGUCCCCGAUUUUAGUGUUUCAUGAAUGAGAGCAAAAAUGUUGCGUGUGGGCUCGAACAAUUCAGUAGCCGAAUAGGUAGGAAGCACAAGUAAGCAGUCCUGAACAACAGUUUUUAAGGGGGUUAUUACAAGGGGCAUGCGCUGCUACUAAAUAGUACGCCGCCGCUGCACCGAAUAUCCCCGGAGAUCAUUACAGACAUCUGGGCAUCUUACUUUAGCACACAUUAGCAAAAUGGAUAAACCGAAAUCAGGACCUCCACUGCUGAGCCAAUCAGAGCACAGCAGGCUUCACAGCAGCGAUCCAAUCAGAGCAAAGCUCAUUACCAUAAAUGUUAAUGAGCCAAAAUCAGUUGGUUUUCCUGUACGGUUUUUUAGGCAUACUAAAACAAACCAUCAAAUAACUUUUCAGCUAAAAUUAUGUUGCAAACAUAAUCAGAGGACAUCAAGGAUUAUGAAAAAAUGAUAAAAAUGGGUAUGAAAUUUUGAUGGCAGGUCCCCUUUAAACACCUUUAGGCGUUUUGCAAUUUCUCUUUCUGUGUAUCCUUCUUUCCUCAAUGUACAAAUCUGUACUUUAGUUUCUUUACUCAGUUGCUUCUUUCUAGUCAUUUUUGCGGUAGUUUGAACGCAGUUGAGAUUUAUUAGGAUUUUUGUAUGCAGACUUUCAAAAGCCAAGAAUUUAAACUGAAUAAUCCAAACUGUGAUUUGCAUUUUUCAAGUUGUGACUCUUGCAAAUUUUUCCAACCCUAAAACUAAGCCCUUAUUAUCUUUUGCUGAUAUAUAUUUAGCAAUGGUCUGUCAAUGUAUAUCUAAAGGUAAAUUGAGUAAAAUGGUGCAUUUCCAUGAAAGCAACAUCUGAUCAUGGAGUAAAUACAUCCCAAAAUACAUACAACUCAUGCUGGAAUUCAAAAAAAGAAUUGUGAACAAAAACUUAAAAUUCUCCCAACUUUUUGGCCUGUAAUGGCCUUGCUUCCAAAUUUUGGGCCUGUAGUGUACCUCACUCAACUUAGCGUGGUCUCACUAAACAGUCUUACGACGCUGGUAAUCAACCUCGUAUGUGGAUCCAGCUUUGAUAUGAGCGCGUGCAUGCAUGUAAGGCGGAGCCUGCCACAUCUGACCAAUCACGAACAUGGACCAGUCUGGAGCGUCAGACCAGGCCGGAGAGUGAAAAACCCGGGACUUUACAAACAUGGAGCAGGAGACGAUCUUGAGAAAGUAUGAAGAAUUCAAAUCUAUCAUGAACCUCAAAAGCAACAUCAUCGCUGCUGCAAAAGCACGGAAGGAAUGCUGGUAGAAAAUUGCCGACAAUCUCAAUGCGUAAGUAUAGUGCGCAAAAAAUCUUUGAUGCCAUUAUCACCCUGAAUGCACUGUUCAACAUCUGCUUUUAACAUGCACCAGACAUGUCUAAUUUGUUCAUUCCUAUCAUGUUUAUAUUUUUUGUGUGAUAUGUAGGCCAUAUGAGCCUUUCAUAAAGGUGGUCAUCUGGAAAAGUAAGUGCGUCCGUGUGGUGGUCCCUGAAAACUCUCGCGCGCCGGAGUGCUCCUCGGACAAUGCGAGCACCGAGGUCUAUAGGAUCCUCCAAGAACAGACAAGCCAUUUUUCAAGAGAGCCCAUUGGUCAGUGGGCAGGGUUUUUAUACCCGGUGAGUUCAAGCUGGAACCUAACCUGCCCCGGAGCAGGUUAGACGUUCAGCGUAUGUUGCCAUGGAGACUCACCUCGCUAAGAAGUGAACCCGCGUCGUAGAACAGGAAACCCCAAACUUACCCCCAAAGUUACCUUGCUAAACAGUAAUCCUGCUUCGUAGAAUAGGCCCCUGGCUUCACUCUCAUAAGGUCAGACAGAGUUGCUCAAGCUGGUGGCAAGAAGAAAGGAGGAGGUCUGGCUUUACUUGUCAACUAGAGAUGGUGUAACCCUUCACAUAUAACUAUCAAGGAGAAGUUGUGCUGUCCAGAUAUUGAACUGUUGGCAGUUGCUCUUCAGCCAUAUUAUGUUCCAAGAGAAUUCAGUCCUACAAUAACAAUAGUUGUAUACAUUCCACCCAAAUUAACUGAAGAAAUUCCAUGCGAUCGUUUGCACAACCGGGCUACAGACUCAACACCCGGAGGCACUAUUAGUAAUAUCAGGAGACUUCAACCAUGUCACCCUCUCCUCUCACCUGACUGGAUUCACACAGUUUGUGAACUGUCCUACCAGAGAAAACAAAACCCUGGAUCUGCUCUCUGGAUCCCUGGAUAUUCCCAAAUCCUGUGUGAGGGAUGGUGUGUUGGUUUUGAUACCCAAAAUGCAAAACCAGACUGAGGAAAGGUAAAACAGGUUCAUUUCAGAGGUAAUGUGGGUGAGAAGUGGGUCCAGAGUCCAACAGAGUGUGCCGGGUUGUAAGCUGGUGAGAGGCACGGAGGGAGGCACUGGAAUAAGAGAAGAGAAAAGCAAGGGUUAAACACAAGGAUCAAAAAAACAUUUAAAAAAUCUUGAGUUCUUGAGAGGGCUGUUGUACCACGGAGUGAAGGCGAUAAUAUUCUGGCGCUGAGGCUUGUGACUGCAACUGAAGUCUUAAAGCUGGCUUGAUUGCAGAAUGGAUACAGGUGAGUCUCAGCGCCUCAGUUGGGGGAAGCGAGCUGCCUCUGGAGACCAUUGCUGUGUCCGAAUUGCCCGCUCGCAUACUACAUGCUACUGCUGCAUACUACUGCUAGAUCCUACUCCUACAUACUAAACACGUUGGCCCAAUUCGGACACACUAGACGAGUGGUGGGGAAAGACGACCCCCGCAGGCAGAGAGUAGGUACUGCGCCCGUUUUAGACUCUGAAUGGUAAUUGUGCAAGUGAUGGAUGCUGCUGUAUUAUAUUCCUGCACUGCUUUAGAAAUUCACAAAGUAGCUUUUCCAUUACUUUUAGCCUUCAU